Molecule: long non-coding RNA, 1805 nt
Filed under: Citrus x clementina
Lineage: Eukaryota; Viridiplantae; Streptophyta; Magnoliopsida; Sapindales; Rutaceae
Description: Citrus clementina (C. clementina) long non-coding RNA (CCLE_LNC000025)
Source: RNAcentral
UUGAUUUUAUGAUACAGUGCAGUAUGUUUUUAUAAAUAAGUAUUUGAUGCUCGAUUUAAUGCUUUUCUAGAAAAUUGAUUUUUUAUUUAUGUGUUGAUAUUUAUUGUUAUUGAGAAUGAGUUUGAUUAAUGAUUUUACUAUCGUUUUUUUAGUAAAGGCAUGAUAUUAGAAUUGAGCAGAUUUGAGAUAUGUUGAAUAGAAAGAAAAUGAGAUUUCAGAUGUGAUUAUAUGUUUAUAUACAUGAGUAUAAAUAUUGUUUUUGAAAACAUUAGACAGUACCCUUCCCUCCAGAUACAGAGAUACAGAUAUGAGAUAUAGAUCAGUUACAGAGAUACAGAGAUACAAAGAUACAGAUAUGAGAUACAGAUCAGUUACAGAGAUAUAGAGAUACAUAUAUGAGAUACAGAUCAAUUACAGAGAUACAGUGAUACAGAUAUGGGAUACAGAUCAGUUAUUGAGAUACAGUGAUACAGAUAUGAGAUACAGAGAGUUGAGAUACAGAUGAGAUACAGGCCUUUGGGGCCCGUCUGAGUACACACAGAGGCUUUGGGCCGUGUGCUUGGGCGCUUUUGUCCUUUGGGGACUAGAUUAUGCAUGCACAGAUAUGAUGAGAUAUGAGAUAGUAUUUCCCUGUCUAUCCGUUGUAGCUCCGGGGCAUGACGUUACCCAGAUAGUGCGUCAUUGCCCGUCCGUUGAGGUCCGGAUAUGACGAGAUUUCCCUGGGUACUUGUUUGAUGAUAGUUUUGGUAUUCAGUAUUUGAUAUAAUAAGUAUUAUGUUUCCAUUGAUUUUAUGCAGAUUUACGUAAUAUAGUAUUUCAGUGACUGAUUUGAAUUAAAUAAGUUUAUGUAAGUUCUUAUGAUAUUCUGAUGAAAUUGAUUUGAGAAAUUGAUGAUUUGAGAAAUUGAUUUGAAAAAGAUUAAAUUAUUUUUUAAAAGAAUUGAUUUUUAAAAUUAUUAUCCACUCACUGAGUUCACUGAGUUUUAUACUCAUUCCGCUUUUAUUAUAUUUUCUCCCCCCCAGGAGACUUGCAGGUACAUCAGUCGACUCAGUAACGAUAGUUAGAUUUGAAAUUGUGGCCACGUAAUGGUGCUAGAAGUCGUAGAUUUAAUUAUUUUAAUUAUUUGGGAUAUUGCGAAUUGUAUUUAUUUAUUAUAUUUUGUAAUUAAGGAUUACCAGUGUAUUUUAUUAUUAGAAGGGUUUGGGUGAAAUUUGAGGUGUUGACUUGAGAAGUUGGUUAUGAAGGAUGGUUGGAUAUCAAAUUAUUUUGGGAGUGUUGAUUUGUAAUUUGCAGGAUUGGAUAUGUUUUAAUUAUAAGGGAGACUCUGCCGAAAUUUUUAUAGAAUAGUUUCGAUUUUACGAGUUUAGAUAGACUGGUCCUAGGGAGUUGCGGGGCGGGUUGUUUUAGUUGGUAUCAGAGCCAGGUUUUAGAUUCUGUAGACUUUACUGUCGUAAAUAGAAUAAGUUUUGAUUAUUAAAGUCGGAAUUGAUAUUUUGUGGGCGCCAUUCGGAUUUAUUGUAGCCGUGGAUGUGAUCGUGGCCGUACUAGACUAGUAGCUGGGUUGACUCCAGCAGAUGUACUGUACACCUUGAGGGAUCAUUACUUAUGACAGCGUAUGAAGAGAGAGAUAGUAUAAUGUUUGUCAGCAGAUUAAGGCUGUGUAUCAGAGGCCUGCUGAGUUAUCGCAGAUGUUUUUGUUUAUUAUUGAGUGAAAGUGGAAACACAUCACUAUGGACAAGUUAGGAAGUAUUUAUAUGGCUGGAAUAAUUUGAUUUUAUGGAGUACUUGUAUUUAUUGUCUCAUAU